This 253-nucleotide ribosomal RNA is filed under the name uncultured bacterium. Its description in RNAcentral is "partial 16S ribosomal RNA". It matches the Rfam family "Bacterial small subunit ribosomal RNA", at positions 524 to 776 of the family's 1533-position model. The record is from RNAcentral.
UACAGAGGGGGCAAGCGUUGUUCGGAAUUACUGGGCGUAAAGGGCGCGUAGGCGGCCUUCUAAGUCGAACGUGAAAUCCCAAGGCUUAACCUUGGAACUGCGUCGGAUACUGGAUGGCUUGAAUUCGGGAGAGGGAUGCAGAAUUCCAGGUGUAGCGGUGAAAUGCGUAGAUAUCUGGAGGAAUACCGGUGGCGAAGGCGGCAUCCUGGACCGACAUUGACGCUGAUGAGCGAAAGCUAGGGGAGCAAACGGG